This 787-nucleotide ribosomal RNA is filed under the name fungal sp. RNAcentral describes it as "eukaryotic LSU rRNA". The stretch from base 472 to 787 matches the Rfam family "Eukaryotic large subunit ribosomal RNA", at positions 1 to 320 of the family's 3401-position model. Lineage: Eukaryota; Fungi. The record is from RNAcentral.
CGGAGGGAUCAUUACCGAGUUUACAACUCCCAAACCCCUGUGAACAUACCACUUGUUGCCUCGGCGGAUCAGCCCGCUCCCGGUAAAACGGGACGGCCCGCCAGAGGACCCCUAAACUCUGUUUCUAUAUGUAACUUCUGAGUAAAACCAUAAAUAAAUCAAAACUUUCAACAACGGAUCUCUUGGUUCUGGCAUCGAUGAAGAACGCAGCAAAAUGCGAUAAGUAAUGUGAAUUGCAGAAUUCAGUGAAUCAUCGAAUCUUUGAACGCACAUUGCGCCCGCCAGUAUUCUGGCGGGCAUGCCUGUUCGAGCGUCAUUUCAACCCUCAAGCACAGCUUGGUGUUGGGACUCGCGUUAAUUCGCGUUCCUCAAAUUGAUUGGCGGUCACGUCGAGCUUCCAUAGCGUAGUAGUAAAACCCUCGUUACUGGUAAUCGUCGCGGCCACGCCGUUAAACCCCAACUUCUGAAUGUUGACCUCGGAUCAGGUAGGAAUACCCGCUGAACUUAAGCAUAUCAAUAAGCGGAGGAAAAGAAACCAACAGGGAUUGCCCUAGUAACGGCGAGUGAAGCGGCAACAGCUCAAAUUUGAAAUCUGGCUCUCGGGCCCGAGUUGUAAUUUGUAGAGGAUACUUUUGAUGCGGUGCCUUCCGAGUUCCCUGGAACGGGACGCCAUAGAGGGUGAGAGCCCCGUCUGGUUGGAUGCCAAAUCUCUGUAAAGUUCCUUCAACGAGUCGAGUAGUUUGGGAAUGCUGCUCUAAAUGGGAGGUAUAUGUCUUCUAAAGCUAAA